GGGUGGUGUUGGAAGCACCUUUUUUUUUUGCACUACAUGACUGUUUUCACGAAGUGACGGUAGUGAGCAAAAUCGCAUAUAAUUUCACUUUCGAUUUUUUUGCAUUUUUGGACAUCAUCCACUAACAUCUUGAACCUCAAAAAAUUUCAGACCGUAAUCACUAUGACGAUGACGUAAACAAGAAAAUACCGUAGCAAAAGGAUUUUCUGUUUUCACGAAGUGACGGCCAAGUACGCGCUUAACAGCCGUCAAUUCGUGAAAACAUCGUUUGCCCUUUCCUGCUUUUAAUAUUUUCACGAAGUGACGGUAGUGAACAUUUCGCAGUUUGGAACAGUCACAGACCAUGAAAAGUUUCAGAUGCAGUAGAUACAAUUUGCACUUAUAUGAAGGAAGCACUGGGAAAGUACAUCUACUUUUCAAGAAUGCCACAGGCCAGAAACAAAUCCAGAUUGGAUACAGAGACCGACAUGCUGGGAAGAUGGGUCCUUGAUAAUUCACUGAACACAGAGCUGGGAUUGUGGCUUGGCAUAGUGACCUAAGAGUGGGAGCGGUAUGGAACCGUUGAAGCAAUUCACCGAACAUGUACAGUCAGAGCUGCAUGUGUGACUUGGCAUGGUGACCCUUAAAGUCUCCUGACGGCUCCGAUUGCGAUUCUGAUGAUGACCCAUUGUCUAUGCUUCUGAGCGAGUCAAAAGUCUAGAUAAAGGAUCUUCGCUGCUUCAACCCCUAUUGCUUGGAUGACAUACGUGUGAAGAAACUUGAAGAACUGUUGUUGAAGAGCUAGAAUCAAUUACAUGAUCGUUUUGACAAUGCUUCAAUGUUUCAAUACCUCAAUCUCUCUUUUAUACUGUUUUAUUUUAAACAUUUUAAAUAUCAUAAACAAAGCAAACACCACUCAUAAUUGUAAUUGUGUGUUGUAAUCGCAAUGAAAUGGAUUGAUUAUAAAAUCAAUGAAUUGAUUUAAAGCAAACUGGUAACAUUGUCCAUGAUUUCUGAAACAAUGAACUGAAUAGUCGUACAGGUGUCAGUUUUCUGUUACAGUAUUGCAAUGAACUUCUGCACACAUAAAUCUUUAUUAUUCAAAUGUAUAGCUCAGAACAGCUAUUUAUCAGGUAUACCUACCUCAAUCAGUAAUGCAUAUUAAGUUUUCGAUUCCAGUUCCAUGAAUCCUCAUAUCGUAUCUUUGUAUUGAAGAAUUUGUUUAUCUACUUUCUUUAAAUGUUUGUAUUCACAGGGGUUGAUGCCUUCAUUAGAACAUGAAUAUAAGUUACAUUUCCACAAUUGAUUUUUCUUUCAAAACACAACACAAUGUUACUAGUUCACAUUUAAUGUUUUUAUUUUUACUUCUAUAGUCAUUCUCAUCAUAAUUGUAUUUGGUACUUCAAACUAUCUUAUAAUCAUACAAUAUAAUGUUGCUGUUUUAAAUUUUAUCUGUUUGAUGAGAAAUGAAAUUGUUUAGUCAAAUUGAUAUUUCCAUGUUUAUCAUGCAUUGUUCAGCUGAUAAUUGUUUAGUCAGAGAUUACGUGUUUGCCUGGGUGAAGACAACCUUUUAGCAUUGGUAAACUUUGUAGCGUUUGAGACUGUGUACUAAAUUUUAUUGAAAUACCCUAGAAAGAGAUUGUGUAAACUGACUUGCUUCUGAAACUCUACUCACAAGAUAUUAAUGAAAAACAGUAAUGAACAAAAAAGUAAUGAUGAUGAUUAUAUUAGUCAUAUUUCCCAUUGAAAAAACUGUGCCAUCUUUUUUUUUCAAGAACUGCCUCGUUUUGUUACGAUCAACAUGUAAACCUUUCAGCCAGAACAGGAUAACCAUGGCGUGCAAGAAAGAGACUAUACCACACAGUACUGUUUUGAAUACCUCUUUUGUCUUCAGGUAAAAAAAAAUCUGUGCAGAUGAACCUUUAAAAAAAAGAGUUUAUUUAGCAACCAGUAUAUUUCAGCAUGCUAAUGAUGUAAAAUUUCUUAUUCAUUUUGUUUUGGAAUGGUAUUUUGAAUAUAGAUUUAUUUCUUUGUUGACUUCAUCAUACAUGUAGUAUGUGGCAUUUAUUUGCUAUGAUUGCUGAAUAAACAUGAUAACCAGGACAUGUAUGAAGAAUAAGUUAAAGACAUUUUUAGCAUAUUUAGUACUGUAUAAUGUGCUAAAUAACCUUUGUAUUCCGUGGCUGUAUACCUGAUGAGUCUUUUCCACAAAUCCCUAAAUGUACAUUUCAAAAUGCAAUAUAGUAUUGAUGAUAAUUGAUGAUGAUAUGUUUGGUAUGAAUUAUUUAAUAUUUUUAAUUUAUUCUCCAUUUGCCACUUGCUGUUCUGGUUCCAAAUGUUUGAAUUAAAACUGCUCAGUCGAAAUUCA
Molecule: long non-coding RNA, 2347 nt
Organism: Strongylocentrotus purpuratus (purple sea urchin)
Lineage: Eukaryota; Metazoa; Echinodermata; Echinoidea; Camarodonta; Strongylocentrotidae
Exons: 4
Source: RefSeq, a predicted model, not a curated record